UGCUGCUGCUGCUGCUGAUGAUGAUGAUAUUGAUCAUGACAAGUGCCAGUACUGCCAUUCAUCAUCAUCAUCAUCAUCUUGUCAU
Molecule: microRNA precursor, 85 nt
Filed under: Prunus dulcis (almond)
Lineage: Eukaryota; Viridiplantae; Streptophyta; Magnoliopsida; Rosales; Rosaceae
Description: sRNA ncRNA
Source: RNAcentral